Molecule: long non-coding RNA, 1324 nt
Filed under: Macaca mulatta (Rhesus monkey)
Lineage: Eukaryota; Metazoa; Chordata; Mammalia; Primates; Cercopithecidae
Description: lncRNA (ENSMMUG00000061798.1)
Source: RNAcentral
AAGGGUAGAUGCUGUAUCUGUGCCGUGCGUGUUAUGAGUCUGUGCUUUGGAAUGUGGACGUUCUGUGGUGAGAAACCCAGUGACCGGGAGCCGCUCCACGGCGAGACCAGCAGCAACCUCAGAGAGGAGACGGGCGACAGCGCCUUGGCCUGGGCCUCGGGCCAGCAAGCCAGAAGGCCCCACUUCAUGGUGAAUUUCCACCACAAAGAAGCAUGUCAAGCUGUAUUUCGGGAGCUCAACGAUGCAGCCCACAAGGGGCCAAGUGCUGGAGAAAGGAAGGAGACGGUGGCAGCAAGGACUGUGGGGCGACCUGGCUGUCAUGAACGGCAGGAGAUUCCCUGGAGGAAGAAAUCACCAGGAAGAGGCCAGCAACCGUCAGCUCAGGGCAGUGCGAACCCAGGGCCUCUGUGGCAGUCAUCAGAGACUGACCGGUCUUCUGCACCCAGAAAAGGGGCUGUGCUGGAAAGCAGGCCCAGGACUGGACUCGAGGUCACAAGGUUACAACCCCCAAAUCCCCAUCACAGACCAUCUUCUACACCACGGCUGGUACAACCCCCAAAUCCCCAUCACAGACCAUCUUCUACACCAAGGCUGGCACAACCCCCAAAUCCCCAUCACAGACAGUCUUCUACACCACGGCUGGCACAACCCCCAAAUCCCCAUCACAGACCAUCUUCUACACCACGGCUGGCACAACCCCCAAACCCCCAUCACAGACCAUCUUCUACACCACGGCUGGCACAACCCCCAAAUUCCCCAUCACAGACCAUUUUCUACACCACGGCUGGUACAACCCCCAAAUCCCAUCACAGACCAUCUUCUACACCAUGGCUGGCCCCGCUGGGCAGGGUGGAGCCUGAGAUUGGCACAUUUGUGUGGAGGCUUGUGGCCUGGGAGCCCCGGGACCCUGAGUCCCUGUCACCUGGAGGCCUUGUCAAGGAUAUAUUCACAAGAUGAUGACGGUUGUCCUCAAGACCUGCCCUGAACCCUUGGCCUCAGAUUCAUCUGUGGAUCACACCUGGCACCUUCCAUAAGGAGGAAUGGGCUCCCUACUGCAGGAACCAGCUGAGAGGCCCAGCCCACAGGUACGCAGGAACAGGUGUCUUGACAGCAUGGGGCCAGAAGCUCAACAUACUAGGCUGGAGAGGGAGGAUGUGGAGGUUGAGUGCUAUCCUGUGACUCCGGAUCCAAUCCUGGGAGGAGAGCCUGGAGUUGGGCCAGAGGGUCAUGGGGAACCUCGGAGCCUGGGAGCCACAGUGGAGCAUGAGACCCAGGUGAGGGGCUGCCGUCAGGGGAGGGGCUGCUGUUAGGGGAGGGGCUGCUG